Molecule: ribosomal RNA, 392 nt
Filed under: Siniperca chuatsi (mandarin fish)
Lineage: Eukaryota; Metazoa; Chordata; Actinopteri; Centrarchiformes; Sinipercidae
Description: partial 12S ribosomal RNA
Source: RNAcentral
CAAAGGCUUGGUCCUGACUUUACUAUCAACUUUAGCUAAACUUACACAUGCAAGUAUCCGCACCCCUGUGAGAAUGCCCUACAGUUCCCUGCCCGGGAACAAGGAGCUGGUAUCAGGCACAUUAAGUUAAGCCCACGACACCUUGCUUAGCCACACCCCCAAGGGAACUCAGCAGUGAUAAACAUUAAGCCAUAAGUGAAAACUUGACUUAGUCAAAGCUAAGAGGGCCGGUAAAACUCGUGCCAGCCACCGCGGUUAUACGAGAGGCCCAAGUUGAUAGCCCCCGGCGUAAAGAGUGGUUAAGAUAACCUGAAUACUAAAGCCGAAUACCCUCAAAGCUGUUAUACGCACCCGAGAGUAAGAAGAACAAUCACGAAAGUGGCUUACAACAC